Non-coding RNA from Caenorhabditis elegans, 67 nucleotides. The record is from Ensembl. NCBI's taxonomy places the organism in Eukaryota, Metazoa, Nematoda, Chromadorea, Rhabditida, Rhabditidae.
UUUGUAUAAUUAGCAUAUAUGUAUUACAAGAGGAACAACUCAAAAGUGAUAAGGUGUGCCUUGAGUG